UUUUGUUGUUUUUCAGUUGUUUCAGGCAUGUGUGGCUCUUCAUGACUUGAGGUUUUCCUGGCAAAGUCUUUAGGUUACAAGACUUGGUGAUCUGUACUGAUAGAAGAUAUGUUGACAUUGGAGUUUUUCUACCAGAUGAAAUCACAGGCACAGACAGGUUAAGGUGAAAUCCUGGGCAAGAAACAGUUGAAGAGGUGAGAAGACCUCAUUGGAAUAGGAUCAGAUCACAGAGACUCAUGGGAACUUAGAAGCGGGCUCUGAGGGAGUAAGCCCAUCUUCCUGUACCAAUGCCAAGGUGUAUGUGACUUUCCCAAGUGAGAAAUGGAUCCCAGAGGAUACUGCCUUGAAGUGUUGCCUCUGAUCCUUAUACCCUAACUAUCCUUUCAUCAGAGUAGUAUUGGCUGCAUAUCUGAGAAAGGGGGAAGGCAAAGAAUGAGAUGGAUCAUGGAAGCAACAAACAGGAACUUGGACAGACUUCAAGAGAUGGGAAAAUCUAUUUCUCCUCCUCUCCAAGGCUAAGGUUCAACAUGCUAUCCAUUCUACUACUUAAUAUGUAUGGCCAACAAUAACCUUCCUAGAUGCUAAGUCACAUCAAAAAAGCAGAAUUUAUCUGAAUGGAAUCAUCUCAUCAGAGGUGUGAACAAGUGUGAAAGAGGCCUGUUCAUCAAUCAAUCAAAGAACAAAGACAUUUCAACUAGGCACUGAAGUAAGCCUUAGAAAUAGAAAUUAGAAAGAAAAAUACAGAUCCUGUCUGCCCUCAAGGAGCUUACAAGAUAAUGAGGGAAGAUAAUACACAAAAGGAAGCUGAAGAGAGUAAGUCAUGGACAAUUUUGUUUCUUGGAAUCCAAACCAAGCAGAACUCGUGAUGAAAGUGAAGAAUUAUUUAGAAAGUUCUAACAGUUCAAAGACCUCUAUAAAGGAAAAGUUUGGAAGAAUUUAGUGGGGGAGAAUCACGAUGGAGUGAGAAACUGUUGAAUAUAAAAGAUCGAGUCAAUUAGCAUGGUGAUAUUUACCAGUUCCCAAUAAAUUCGCCCACACUAGCAAAUGUCUAUGGGCAACAUUGUUUAUAUUUUAUGAUGUAGAUCGAAGAGAGAAAGUGCAGGUUAUUUUUAAUCCAGUUGGGACCCAUCUCUGAUUCCAGACUAGCACAGUAAAAUUCAGGUAUAUUCUGUCUCCUCUCCCCACCAUUUCAUUUCCCACCUUCAUUACCACUUUCAGCACUGCAUAUCUAUCAAGGCAGCAUGGCACUCUUGUCAUGAUCUCAUUGUGGUAGGUUAAUAACCACACCCCAAUUUUUCAGAUUUUACCCUUCAUAGGCCUCAAGUGAUUGAUAUGUUUGAAGGGAACUUAGAGAAUAUGAUGUGUCAGCUUAAUGAUCCAAAGUCCACUAUCAUCUCACUAACUAAGUGCUUGUGUGAUAAAUAUUAAAAUAAAAG
Long non-coding RNA from Sarcophilus harrisii (Tasmanian devil), 1436 nucleotides. RefSeq lists it as uncharacterized. Lineage: Eukaryota; Metazoa; Chordata; Mammalia; Dasyuromorphia; Dasyuridae. The record is from RefSeq and is a predicted model, not a curated record. The transcript is spliced from 8 exons.